UACAGGGGGUGCAAACGUUGCUCGGAAUCAUUGGGCGUAAAAGCGCACGUAGGCGGUUCGUUAUGUCGGAUGUGAAAAGCCCCUUGGCUUAACCGAGGAAGUGCAUCCGAAAACUGGCGAGCUAGAGUACGAAAAGAGGAAUCGCGGGAAUUUCCCCGGUGUAGAGGGUGAAAUUCGUAGAUAUCGGGAGGAACACCGGUGGCGAAGGCGGCGAUCUGGGUCGAUACUGACGCUGAGGUGCGAAAGCGUGGGGGAGCAAACAGG
RNAcentral lists this ribosomal RNA (264 nucleotides) under uncultured bacterium. RNAcentral's name for it is "partial 16S ribosomal RNA". It matches the Rfam family "Bacterial small subunit ribosomal RNA", at positions 524 to 776 of the family's 1533-position model. The record is from RNAcentral.